RNAcentral lists this ribosomal RNA (735 nucleotides) under Triticum aestivum (bread wheat). RNAcentral describes it as "partial small subunit ribosomal RNA". The record is from RNAcentral. Lineage: Eukaryota; Viridiplantae; Streptophyta; Magnoliopsida; Poales; Poaceae.
AUGAAAUCACUACAACGCCUGGGUUGGUUUGACACGCGUUACACCUCACUCGACAGUAUCAAGGGCCUAGGAGAGCUCACCAAUCUGAGUACUUUAUCUCUCAUAACCAGUUUAUCUGAAGAUGUGGAUAUGGAUGUUCUAAACGCUUCUUUGGGAAAACUUUGUAACCUCGAGUUUCUGCACAUAUAUUCACCUUGUUCUUGGAUACCUGAGGCAAUAACGCUGUUGCCUCCUCCCCCCAACCUUGUGAAACUCAAGUUCAAUAAAAGCUCCCACGUCCCUAACUGGAUUGGGGAACUCCAUAACCUCCAGAUCUUAGAUCUCAUUGUUGAGAAGCUGGACAACGAUGUUUUUGGUGUUCUUGCAGAGUUACCCGCCCUCAUCGACCUACGUUUACAGUUUGGUGCCCUGGAAGAAACAAUUACCAUCGAUGGGGCAGCAUUCGCAAUCCUGAAGCGGUUUGAAAUCAGCUCGAGUAUCAUGCCACGCUUGGCCUUCCAAGCUAGGGCAAUGCCAAAGCUCCAGAGCCUCUAUCUAUAUUUGAACGCCAGUGGGUGGAAGAAGGAUGAGAAUGCUCCACCUACAGGUAUCGAGCACUUGUUAGCACUUGAAAUAAUCGAUGUACAAAUAUGGCAGUAUAAGCAUCUAAAGAGAAGUGCGGAGUCAGCCAUUAGGAGGGCUAUCAACAUGCAUCCCAGCCAUGCUCACAUUACAAUCAAUAUCAAAUUGUACUGA